RNAcentral lists this non-coding RNA (24 nucleotides) under Arabidopsis thaliana (thale cress). Lineage: Eukaryota; Viridiplantae; Streptophyta; Magnoliopsida; Brassicales; Brassicaceae. The record is from RNAcentral.
UUAGUGACUUCUGAUUUCAUCUCA